CCGACGGUGAGGGGCGAAAGCUGGGGGCACGAACCGGAUUAGAUACCCGGGUAGUCCCAGCCGUAAACGAUGCUCGCUAGGUGUCUGGGAUGGUGCGACCGUUUCAGGUGCCGCAGGGAAGCCGUGAAGCGAGCCACCUGGGAAGUACGGCCGCAAGGCUGAAACUUAAAGGAAUUGGCGGGGGAGCGCUACAACGGGUGGAGCCUGCGGUUUAAUUGGACUCAACGCCGGAAAACUCACCUGGGGC
This 247-nucleotide ribosomal RNA is filed under the name uncultured archaeon. RNAcentral's name for it is "partial 16S ribosomal RNA". It matches the Rfam family "Archaeal small subunit ribosomal RNA", at positions 691 to 937 of the family's 1478-position model. The record is from RNAcentral.